Molecule: ribosomal RNA, 167 nt
Filed under: Escherichia coli
Lineage: Bacteria; Pseudomonadati; Pseudomonadota; Gammaproteobacteria; Enterobacterales; Enterobacteriaceae
Description: partial 16S ribosomal RNA
Rfam family: Bacterial small subunit ribosomal RNA
Source: RNAcentral
AAAUUGAAGAGUUUGAUCAUGGCUCAGAUUGAACGCUGGCGGCAGGCCUAACACAUGCAAGUCGAACGGUAACAGGAAACAGCUUGCUGAUUUGCUGACGAGUGGCGGACGGGUGAGUAAUGUCUGGGAAACUGCCUGAUGGAGGGGGAUAACUACUGGAAACGGUA